CGAAAUAUCGUUUUUAUCACAAUUUGUAACCACAUACCUCUUUUUAUUUAAAAAAGGACACGUACUCAAAAUUAUAAAAUAGUGAAAUCACACUGUUGCUUUUUUUUUGUGCUUAUCCAUAAUCUAAAUAACAUAUCAUGGGUGCAAAUAAUUACAUUAUGCCCUUUUUCUUGCAGUACCCACUUUCGUAAAAUUUACAUACUCGCUACCUUUCACUAGGAGCCUCGAAAGAACCACCUCCAUAUCCAUGCACUGCCUGCCUAUUCCAUGAAGAUCUAUCCCUACCAUAACCAAUAUCUCUAUUUUGAAAAUAAUUAUGAUAAUGGUCUUGCGACCAAAAAAUCUAUUAUCCCCACCGUACCUCAAUUAGCUUCCUUAACCACCAAUAUUUCCUGUAAAAAUGGCAGAAAUUGUACUAGCUUGUUGCUAAAUUGACUUGUGAUCAAUCCUUAAACCAUGUUCAUACUUCCUUGAGAUACUCGUCCCUGGUUCAAGUUUGUGUUCUCCUUUACAGUUCCCCAUCUAGUGUUUACUGUUGAUGAUGCAGGAUGUUGGGUAUCAGAACCGCCUUCCAAUUGGCUAACCGUUGAUGAAGUGAAAGCUUGGAUGUCUGAAUCUGCUUCACCUUGGUUCACAAUUGAUGACGCUAGUGACAAAGUCAGUGUAAAUUUUUGUUUACUGUGUGUCUAAUCACAAAACUAUAAAAAUAGUUUCAAACAAGAAAUUCCAAAUAGAGGGAGAGAAUGACUUUGAAGAAUUCUAUUGCAUAUCCAUUUUUAAGAAAUCAUAGAUUGUUACUUUUCAAAAGAGAAAUAGUAAAGGGAGAGAAUUGAUAAUGGAGAAAGCAGGAGUUUCAGGUGAAGCGCGGUUGGAGGAGGAGGAGGAGAAAGUAGUGAUGGCGGCGGCGGUGGUUAUAGGAUAAGAGCAAGAGGUGGAAGAAAAGUGGCAAAGACAAUGGUGGUUGAGAUGGCGGAGAAAGAGGAGAGAGAUAGAGAGGAGGAAAGUGAUGAAGAUGAUUAAAACAAUUAAGGAGCUCAGGUGUAAAGUAUUAUUUGACUUGUAUUUUUUUUUAGUUACACACACACUGUACCAUGUCAUCUUUGCACCUAUCAAUUAAACAAAAAUAAAUAGGCGGUACUGAUAAA
RNAcentral lists this long non-coding RNA (1145 nucleotides) under Ricinus communis (castor bean). RNAcentral describes it as "long non-coding RNA (RCOM_LNC001447)". The record is from RNAcentral. Lineage: Eukaryota; Viridiplantae; Streptophyta; Magnoliopsida; Malpighiales; Euphorbiaceae.